AGUUCGGAUUGUAGUCUGCAACCCGACUACAUGAAGCUGGAAUCGCUAGUAAUCGCGGAUCAGAAUGCCGCGGUGAAUACGUUCCCGGGUCUUGUACACACCGCCCGUCACACCAUGGGAGUCGGAAAUGCCCGAAGUCUGUGACCCAACCAUUAAGGAGGGAGCAGCCGAAGGCAGGUCGGAUGACUGGGGUGAAGUCGUAACAAGGUAAC
This 212-nucleotide ribosomal RNA is filed under the name uncultured bacterium. RNAcentral describes it as "partial 16S ribosomal RNA". It matches the Rfam family "Bacterial small subunit ribosomal RNA", at positions 1290 to 1500 of the family's 1533-position model. The record is from RNAcentral.